GAUGAACGCUAGCUACAGGCUUAACACAUGCAAGUCGAGGGGAAACGAUAUUGGAAGCUUGCUUCCGAUAGGCGUCGACCGGCGCACGGGUGAGUAACGCGUAUCCAACCUGCCCACCACUUGGGGAUAACCUUGCGAAAGUAAGACUAAUACCCAAUGAUAUCUCUAGAAGACAUCUGAAGGAGAUUAAAGAUUCAUCGGUGAUGGAUGGGGAUGCGUCUGAUUAGCUUGUUGGCGGGGUAACGGCCCACCAAGGCGACGAUCAGUAGGGGUUCUAGGAGGAAGGUACCCCACAUUGGAACUGAAACACGGUCCAAACUCCGACGGGAGGCAGCAGUGAGGAAUAUUGGUCAAUGGGCGAGAGCCUGAACCAGCCAAGCAGCGUGCAGGAUGACGGCCCUAUGGGUUGUAAACUGCUUUUAUAGGGGAAUAAAGUGAGUCUCGUGAGACUUUUUGCAUGUACCUUAUGAAUAAGGACCGGCUAAUUCCGUGCCAGCCGCCGCAGUAA
This 508-nucleotide ribosomal RNA is filed under the name uncultured bacterium. RNAcentral's name for it is "partial 16S ribosomal RNA". It matches the Rfam family "Bacterial small subunit ribosomal RNA", at positions 28 to 523 of the family's 1533-position model. The record is from RNAcentral.